UGAUCAGCUGUUUUCGCUCAGUGUGUGUGAUUAUCUUUGUUCCAGUGUCCUUAUGGAAAGUUUACGUUCCUCUGAAUCCAGCUCAAGGAAAAAGAUAAAAUGCUCAAGGUUGAAAGAUCGUGUCAGGAGCUUUUUGACAGACAGUUUCAGAAGACUCCAAUGAGACGUGAAGGAAACUGGACAAGUGAAGUCUCUCUACAACUACUGGCCAGAGAAGUAGUGUCCACUCAUCCUGCAAUUGAAUAGCUAACUUUUCCACGCAAUAAAAAAAACAAAGUUUCAGAGUUUAA
Molecule: long non-coding RNA, 290 nt
Organism: Dicentrarchus labrax (European seabass)
Lineage: Eukaryota; Metazoa; Chordata; Actinopteri; Moronidae
Exons: 3
Source: RefSeq, a predicted model, not a curated record